Molecule: ribosomal RNA, 503 nt
Filed under: uncultured bacterium
Lineage: Bacteria
Description: bacterial SSU rRNA
Rfam family: Bacterial small subunit ribosomal RNA
Source: RNAcentral
AUUGAACGCUGGCGGUAUGCUUAACACAUGCAAGUCGAACGAGUAGCUACUUCGGUAGCGAGAGUGGCGGACGGGUGAGUAACGCGUAGGAAUCUGCCUGUUAGUGGGGGACAACGUGGGGAAACUCACGCUAAUACCGCAUACGCCCUACGGGGGAAAGGAGGGGAUCUUCGGACCUUUCGUCUAACAGAUGAGCCUGCGUUAGAUUAGCUAGUUGGUGGGGUAAAGGCCUACCAAGGCGACGAUCUAUAGCUGUUCUGAGAGGAAGAUCAGCCACACUGGGACUGAGACACGGCCCAGACUCCUACGGGAGGCAGCAGUGGGGAAUAUUGGACAAUGGGCGCAAGCCUGAUCCAGCAAUACCGCGUGUGUGAAGAAGGCCCUAGGGUUGUAAAGCACUUUCAAUGGGGAGGAAAAAGAAGUAGGCAAGUACCCUGCUUAUUGACAUUACCCAUACAAGAAGCACCGGCUAACUCCGUGCCAGCAGCCGCGGUAAAGUCACA